UUUUAUUUAAACAAUACCACGUAUGGGAUUAUAUUUUUAACCGAAAACAAAUUCAAACAAAUAUAUAAACGUUUUGGGCACCCGUUAAUUAAUAAAUUAUGGAGGUUUUUAUAACGGGUAAGGGAAAAAGCAAAUUUUAAAACUAUAAAAAUAAUUAAUAAAAUUUGCCAUUUUUGCUAAAAAAAGGGAAAAACGCCCCAACGUUUUAAAUUCGCUUUAAAGGAUAAUAUCGAUUUUAAUUACGAAAUAAUUGUUAAUAUAAUAUAUUUGGAAAGACGCCCGGUAUUUUAUAUAAUCAAUAUAAGCACCGUUUUCCAAAUAACCAAAUUCCUGACGGAUAUAUUAGCCAAAAAAACCUAGGAAACGUUAAAAUAAUAUUGGAUCGAUAUAUAUUUAGAAUUAUUUAACGUAUUAACGUUCGACCCGGAAUCCAAUUUCCGUGCAACCAAAUUCCACGCAAAAAUACGGUUAUUAAAUAUAUUAUAUAACCAAAUACCGGUGGAAAUAUAUUGGGUAAUAGGUAAAAUCGAAAAAUUUUAUAUAUUAUUAAGGCGAACGUACGAAAUUAUCCGUACCGAAUGCGGUACGAAAUAUUUGCAAAAAAUUGCCCUACAAAUAGUAAUAAAAACGGUUAAUAAUACCGCAGGGCCGAACGGUUUGGUAUUAAUAUUGCUAGUAUUUGGGGCAAUAUUUAAAAUUACGAUGGAUUUAUUUCCAAUACCCAACCAAAUAAAAAAAACGGCGGUAAUUAAUAAAAUUAUAACGGAAUUACGGAAAUUUACCGCCAAAAAAAAGUUAAACAACGCGUUAAUCGCAAAAAACGGCCUAAAAUUAUCGAACCAAUUUCCACGUACGUUGAAAUUAAGGGUAAAAAUGCUGGUAUACCGAAAAAAAAAUAAUUGGAGUGGCCCAUAUAAAGUCGUUUUAAUAACGGAAAAUAACGUAAAAAUUACCUUCCCCAACGGGAAUUCGGAUUUUAAAAAUAUUUACGUAAAACCAUAUUACAAAUAUUAAAAUUAAAAAAAGAAGGUAUAAAGAAAAAACGAUUUUAUUUACUUUAAAAAAAACUAUUUACGGUUUAGGGGGAAAUUAAAAACGGUAUUAAAAACGCCAAAAAAGUUGUUAAUAAUAAUGGCGGUUAAUUUAACGCAAAAACCGCCCCUUAAUUUAGGGGUAAUUGCCCCUAAAACGAAUAUAACGCCGAACAAUUUGACGAUCGAAAUGGCAAUUAAACCCGAGAAAUAUCGACGCAAUGGACGAAACAGGAAAUCCAAAAUGCAAUUCGAUACGCUAAUAUCGGAUAAAAAAAACCACGUUUAUAACCUGGUUAUUAAAUAUAGGGUAAAAAACAAGAUUACGGUAAUAGGGGUUCCAUUCGAAUAAUUAAACGCCGCCGAAAUCGAAAUAUUAUUAAAU
RNAcentral lists this small RNA (1416 nucleotides) under Pyricularia oryzae. RNAcentral's name for it is "Magnaporthe oryzae sRNA M_BR32_EuGene_00137421". Lineage: Eukaryota; Fungi; Ascomycota; Sordariomycetes; Magnaporthales; Pyriculariaceae. The record is from RNAcentral.